RNAcentral lists this ribosomal RNA (468 nucleotides) under Chatogekko amazonicus. RNAcentral's name for it is "partial 16S ribosomal RNA". It matches the Rfam family "Bacterial large subunit ribosomal RNA", at positions 1923 to 2597 of the family's 2925-position model. The record is from RNAcentral. Lineage: Eukaryota; Metazoa; Chordata; Lepidosauria; Squamata; Sphaerodactylidae.
CUCAACGGCCGCGGUACUACUAACCGUGCAAAGGUAGCAUAAUCACUUGUCCCCUAAAUAGAGACUAGAAUGAACGGCCAAAUGAGGGCCCAACUGUCUUUUAGCGUUAAUCAAUGAACCUGAUCUUUCAGUACAAAAGCUGAAAUAAACCCAUAAGACAAAAAGACCCUGCGGAGCUUCAAAUAAGGCCCAUAAAAUCAAUACCCCUAUUUUAAGUUGGGGCGACUACGGAACAAAAUAAAACUUCCACGCAUAGGACUAUACACCCCAAAAAGAUUAACACAUCAAAAUGAUAUUAUUUUGACCCAGACAAAAACUGAGUAACGAACCAAGUUACCCCAGGGAUAACAGCGCCAUCCUCUUCAAGAGCCCCUAUCAUCAAGAGGGUUUACGACCUCGAUGUUGGAUCAGGGCCCCCAAGUGGUGCAGUCGCUACUUAAGGUUCGUUUGUUCAACGAUUAAUGCCCU